CUGCUGCCUCCCGUAGGAGUUUGGACCGUGUCUCGGUUCCAAUGUGGGGGACCUUCCUCUCAGAACCCCUACGCAUCGUCGGCUUGGUGGGCCGUUGCCCCACCAACUACCUAAUGCGCCGCAUGCCCAUCCGUGACCGGGGUCGCCCCCUUUGGCCGGCAGGGGAUGUCCCCUCCCGGCAUUAUGUUGUAUUAGGCGGGAUUUCUCCCGGUUAUCCAUCUGUCACGGCCAGGUUGCAUACGUGUUACUCACCCGUGCGCCGGUCGCCGGCGG
RNAcentral lists this ribosomal RNA (273 nucleotides) under uncultured bacterium. RNAcentral's name for it is "partial 16S ribosomal RNA". The record is from RNAcentral.